Molecule: non-coding RNA, 73 nt
Organism: Lasiosphaeria miniovina
Lineage: Eukaryota; Fungi; Ascomycota; Sordariomycetes; Sordariales; Lasiosphaeriaceae
Source: the annotation of a RefSeq genome assembly
GGCUGCGUGGCCUAGUGGUUAAGGCAUCUGCUUUACACGCAGAGGAUCGCAGGUUCGAGCCCUGCCGCGGUCA